AAAAGGCCAUGGUUGGAUCACAAAGUAUGUACAUUGUUAACUUUUAGAUGAUAUCUCCAAAAAGGUUAAAACGCUUCACCACUGCCCUUCCCAUGAGCUCCUCCUUAGAAUAUCAUGUGUACUAUGGGAAGGGGCAGCCUGACCUGGGCUACCUUCAAGUCGAUGCAGUUGUCAUUGCUGUUCUUGGAAAUCAGCUGAUCCCUGUAUUGGGCAGUGCACCCGGGCCAGCUCUGCCAGGCCCAGUGAGGGUGACAUACCCACACCAGCCUGUCCACACCUCUUCCUCUGCCAGAAACUAAAGCACAUGGAGGAAUGUGUGGGUCAUCACAGAAGUAAUGCUUUCUGAAGUCCUGGGUUCAUCUAAAUGGUUCAGGGACAAGCAGAGAGGCCUCACAGCCAAGAGAAGUUUCCAGGCCUCUCUCUGCCAUGAUCCCUUCUCUGAUUCGCCUCCAGUGAUGCCCUCUCUACUCUGCCCAUUCGUCGUCCAUCAGCACCCUUCCUUUCCCACCCCAAGGUGCUGAGAACCUCCAGGGGCCCCAGAGAAGCCAGAGAGAACUCAACACCAGUCCCUCUAGCCAAACAAUCAGCAAACGAAGAUAACUUUAAAGAGUGUCAAGCCCAACUUUAUGACUCCCUCAUAGGCACCAAGGGCAUUGUCUCAAAAGCCUAAGCCACCAGACAGGAUAACCCAGGACUGCUUGUCGGUUGACCUGCUGAGACCAACUAUGACUCAUCUGUUUACUGCGGAACGGAGGUAACGUGGGAUGCAAAGGUUGACAGCCACCUCCCGGGAGACCGUCGGACCUGGAAAUCAGGGCCCUGGGUUUCAACCGGAAAUGUUUACACUGGCACAGACCCAAGAUGGAUGGAGGGCCACGUCACGGAGAGCUGAGUGAGCACAUGCACACAUUUUAAGGGACCGGGGUCUUCACAGCUGACCGGCUGGUCACUCUCUCCGCUGCGCUGAGCAGCCUGGAGGCUAGCGGUCAUCACUUACAUGUGCUCUGCUACUUACACUUGGAUUUAUAACCACACUUUCCCACGACCGCAUUUUCUUUCUUGGCAGAGGAUUAAGGGCAGCAAUAAUAAACACGUAAUAAUAGUGAUAUUGGUCUCAUUUAUUAAUGGCAUAUUAUAUCUGGGGGCAUUAUGUCUUUCAGGUGAUAUACA
Long non-coding RNA from Panthera uncia (snow leopard), 1170 nucleotides. RefSeq lists it as uncharacterized. The record is from RefSeq and is a predicted model, not a curated record. Lineage: Eukaryota; Metazoa; Chordata; Mammalia; Carnivora; Felidae. The transcript is spliced from 4 exons.